This is a small nucleolar RNA of Armigeres subalbatus, 78 nucleotides long. RefSeq annotates it as small nucleolar RNA U18. The record is from RefSeq and is a predicted model, not a curated record. NCBI's taxonomy places the organism in Eukaryota, Metazoa, Arthropoda, Insecta, Diptera, Culicidae. The transcript has a single exon.
AAUUUGAUGAAAUAUUUUGGUCCGUGUUUAUGAUUUUUUUUGAUUAUCGAACUUUGUUCGUUCCAAUAACUGAAUACG